CUCUGGCCCAAAGGUAGUGAGUUAUCUCAAUUGAUUGUUCACAGUGAGUUACAGAUCGAACUCCUUGUUCUACUCUUCCCCACUUCUCACUACUGCACUUGACUAGUCUUAA
Molecule: Y RNA, 112 nt
Filed under: Cebus imitator (Panamanian white-faced capuchin)
Lineage: Eukaryota; Metazoa; Chordata; Mammalia; Primates; Cebidae
Description: Y RNA (ENSCCAG00000010099.1)
Rfam family: Y RNA
About the family: Y RNAs are components of the Ro ribonucleoprotein particle (Ro RNP), in association with Ro60 and La proteins. The Y RNAs and Ro60 and La proteins are well conserved, but the function of the Ro RNP is not known. In humans the RNA component can be one of four small RNAs -- hY1, hY3, hY4 and hY5.
Source: Rfam by way of RNAcentral